GUCUUCUCUCUUUGGGAGCCCAUGUGUGACGGAGAAAAAAUGGGAUACCAAACUGACAGUAGGUAUGCUAAGAAUCACGACCUCUGGAUGAAUAUAAUUGAUUUAGGGUUUGAUACAGUCCUCAAGCUCCAGACAUUUGCAGGAAAAUAGGUUUGGGGUCAGAAAAUGCCCACUUGGGGAGAAAACUUCAGGACUUUCCCUCAGCACUUGGUUUCACACCACAGCUGAGAAUGUCCAGGCCCACUCCCAACAUUCUUGAAACAGGUAACAGAGGCCAUUCUCACGUCUCCAAGGAGGAUGGAAUAAAAACAGCCCCAGCUGGUGAGAUUCUUCUGGAGUUGAUCUGCCACAAAGCUGAUUUAUGCCUUCCUCACUUCUGCAUUUAUUUGCAAGGAAGCCACCUAGCCUGCUGUGAAGAUCAACAGCUUGGAGUCUGUCCCAUAAAGUGAAAUGAGAUGAGACUGAGGGGUUGGGGAUGAGAAACAGAAUGAAGAUGUUUGGAUAAGAGAGGAGAUGGAAAAGGAGACAGGCAUUAUUCAGGCAGCAUGACAUGAAGAAACGGUCCAUACUACAGAAGAGCAGUUUCUAAUAAAUAGAUCAUUGUGUCUCAAAGAUAAAGAAAACUUCCUGUUUCUAAUUAA
Long non-coding RNA from Lacerta agilis (Sand lizard), 641 nucleotides. RefSeq lists it as uncharacterized. Lineage: Eukaryota; Metazoa; Chordata; Lepidosauria; Squamata; Lacertidae. The record is from RefSeq and is a predicted model, not a curated record. The transcript is spliced from 2 exons.